Cuculus canorus (common cuckoo) is the source of this 3013-nucleotide long non-coding RNA. RefSeq lists it as uncharacterized. The transcript has 3 exons. The record is from RefSeq and is a predicted model, not a curated record. NCBI's taxonomy places the organism in Eukaryota, Metazoa, Chordata, Aves, Cuculiformes, Cuculidae.
UGCCUUUAAAUAUAUUGGCUGGUAUCUCCAGACACGCAUUAAAAAUAAAUAGUUAAUAAAGGUGUUUUGACUGGAGCAUCUGCUGCAGUUCUUGGUUGUGGAGGCUUAAUUGCAGACUAGAGUAUCAAACUUUCAGAAGGUCUGAGGACAGAGAUAGAUUGGGGUCAUCAGGUUAUUUGGAAUAAAAUCCCAACCUUUAUCUCUCAAAUGCAGUGUCCAAUUGAUUUUCUCUGGACCAUUAGACACCACACACUUGCCAUGAAGCCCAAGAGGGGAGUGGAAAAACAUCACACUCUCCAAGAUCCUUUUGAAGCAAAAUACUGCAGUCCCUUGCGGGCUCUUUGGGAGGUACAGCUUUUCCCCUUAAGUACCAAAGAACUGCGGAUAAAACCACCAUGGCAAACACUCAGUCAUUUUCCAAACUUCUACUCUAUCCAGAGAGGUACCCCCAGAACUGUGUUUGCAGAGCACCCAGCCACAUGUUGUGGGCCUGCAUGAUUAAAAACACCAACCGCUGUUCAGACAAAUCGAGCAUUUCCAUAUAAACUGCUGAAUUCCAUUUAUCCCGGCAUUUCACCCUGCAAAACUGGGAAAAGCUUCAAUGUGUGAGCAGAGCUGGCAGAGAUAGAACUGCAUGUGAUACAAUUUGCCUAACAGGAAAAUACUUUAACGUUAGAGAGACCUCUUCACACCAAAGCUGUGGCUCGUUAUCUACCAAGUCCCAGGCAGCUUGGAUUUGCCAAUCAAAUAAUUUUUAAUCAAAUUGCCAACACCAGCUCUGAUUGUCCUUUCCCACGCAGCCUGGAGCUUUGCUGCUCUGGGGGAAGAAGACUUUUUUUAUCCCAGCUAGCCACAUCCUCUUGCCACUGUAGCUCAGACUUUCUGAGGGGCUUUCCUGGCAUCCUUGUUCCGUUGAUGAGUUUUCUCUCUUUUCCCUAGUUUCCUGAUGGGAGCAGGCUGGGGUGCCACUGCCCCAGGGACAGGUUUGUGCAGACCUGGGUGAAGUCCAGGCUGGGAGGGGUGGUGGGCAAAGUGGAACGGUUCACUUGGAACCCUUCUGGCAUGUUUUGUUCUGCAGCCCCUAAUCCUUCCUGGUGUGCUUCUUGCUUUUAUGGUCUUCCACCUGCUUCAGGUUUGGGGAAUGCAGCUUUCCCUUGCGUCUCCAUUGAUUUACCAGCUCUAGGGUUUGGCUGUUGCCCUGGGUAAUUGGCAGCAGUGACAUUUUGGGCUGAAUUUUAUUGUACGCGUUGAGAAAAGUCAGCAAACAGAGUUGAGUGCUGUGUCAAGUAUUGCCUUUGACUUUCUGUUGCAGCCAUUUAGGGUCUGUUUUGUCCUUGGACUGAGAAAGCCUCUGUUCUGGUUGAGCCUUUGUCUGAGAUGCUGGAGGUUAGUCUGAGGAGAGCAGUCUGAGAGACCCCACUAAUCCCUUUUUACUUUAUGAACAAGAAAGUCAAGUGUUUUUUAUAAUAAUAAUAAUUUGAGCUAAUAAGUAACAUGCUGGCUGGAGCUGCAGCUGCCUGGGGUGGAGCAGAUUUGUUUUUUCUGUCUAAUUAGAAAGAUUUAGCUAAUGUCACACAUGUCUUCAUUUGCAGAUUUUCUGGAGAGGUCUGGCCUCUCACAGCUAAAUCAACGCGGGUGCAGGAGCCAGGCACCAUCAGUGGCCUCCACCACCCCAGAGCUUAGCCCCCUCCCCUCGCUUAUGCCAUACAAACUUCUCUCUGAGCAUUUUCAGAAGGACCUGAGGCUCUGGUGUGGCCCCGAGGCAGCACCCACCCAUGAACCAGCCAGAGGUGCUUUGUGCGAGUAAGUUCUUCUUUCUGUGGGUAGAAAUGUUUAUUUUAUUAUUCCUUUAAUUCCUCCACGCUGCAUUCCUGCCUCAUCAAAACGCAUUAGCAAUCUAAAUCUUCAUCAGUGAGGGAGGUCUCGCUUCCUUUGAGGGAUAACAAUUCUUUAAGUCUGUGGGAAGAUUAAAAGUGUGGUACUAAGUAAAAGAAUCAUACAGCUGGGGAAGGCAAAUGCCCGUAACUGUGUUCAUUAACAAUAUUGUAUAUCAUCUAAAUGAAAGAAUGUUUAAAGGCUUAAUGAUUUCCUUCUCACUGAUACGUGCUGUUCAGUGCCAGCUCAGACAACGAAGAAAGACGAUCCUAUUUUACAUCUGCCCUGAUUUGCUGGUUAGUUUGCAAACAUUUUAGGGAAGUGUUCAGAAAACCUGAUUUUUGGUGGAAGUUGAAGGGGAAAAAAGUAUUUUCUAUUGAGUGAUUUUUACAAUAAGAUUAACUUCAGAAAACCUCAACAUUGGCCCUUGCUGGCCUUGACAAUGGGCCCCUUUUGAAAAGGUAAUACAGCUAUCUAUGAUUAGCCACGGCUAGUUAAUAACUCAUCUGUUCAUGUCCGGGCCCACAAAUGGAAGGUUUCAAUGUACAAGGAACCAAGGUUAGGCCAACAAGGAUAAAAUCAUGUCUAUUUUAGUUUAAUGAAUUCCAUUUCCUUUGUUGCUGAGUUUUAUUUGGACAGUCAGAUGGAUAGCUGGGCUUUCGGACCGCUUUCAGAAGGGUUUCCUGCAGAGCAGCGGCUUGGGCUCCUUCCAUGAGCCUCUCUGACCAUAACAUCAUUGCAGAAAAUGGGUUGUGCAAAGCUGGUUGAGCUCUGCAAGUCUUACUGCAGAAGCCUACAAAUAAUUGGUGUGACUCUUCUGGUAUUUGCCGAUGUUUCAGCAUGCUGCUUGCAGUGUGAGCUCCAGAAGGUGCUUCCUGAGCCAUUCCUGGGGAUGCCUGCCUGGUUGUGUGGGAAACAGAAAGAAGGGUACCAGUUCGUGGAGCCCACAAAUGCUCCUCCCUCCCCGCCCAAUUCGGGAGGUGUCACCACAGAACGGAUGAAGAUCCCACACCCAGCAUGACUUACGCAAUGAGGAGUAAAAUGGAUAAACACUUCAGCCCCUUCUCUGCAGCAGCAGCCAGGGAACAGCUGAAAGAGCCUGGCUCCUGCAAGGAGCUUGGAGGGAGAGCAGCCAUCA